Molecule: transfer RNA, 72 nt
Filed under: Bos taurus (domestic cattle)
Lineage: Eukaryota; Metazoa; Chordata; Mammalia; Artiodactyla; Bovidae
Also listed under: 1 other name
Rfam family: tRNA
About the family: Transfer RNA (tRNA) molecules are approximately 80 nucleotides in length. Their secondary structure includes four short double-helical elements and three loops (D, anti-codon, and T loops).
Source: Rfam by way of RNAcentral
UCCCUGGUGACUAAGAUGGUAAAGAAUCUGCCUGCAGUGCAGGAGACCUGAGUUCGAUCCCUGGAUAGGGAA